RNAcentral lists this ribosomal RNA (422 nucleotides) under Verrucomicrobiota bacterium. Its description in RNAcentral is "Verrucomicrobia bacterium partial 16S ribosomal RNA". It matches the Rfam family "Bacterial small subunit ribosomal RNA", at positions 355 to 776 of the family's 1533-position model. The record is from RNAcentral. Lineage: Bacteria; Pseudomonadati; Verrucomicrobiota.
AGGGGAAUUUUGCACAAUGGGCGCAAGCCUGAUGCAGCGACGCCGCGUGAGGGAUGAAGGCCUUCGGGUUGUAAACCUUUUUCGCUCAUGGUCAAGCCGCAGCUUUGGGUUGUGGUGAGGGUAGUGGGUAAAGAAGCGCCGGCUAACUACGUGCCAGCAGCCGUGGUAAUACGUAGGGCGCGAGCGUUGUCCGGAAUUAUUGGGCGUAAAGGGCUUGUAGGCGGUUGGCCGCGUCUGCCGUGAAUUCCUCUGGCUUAACUGGGGGCGUGCGGUGGGUACGAGUUAACCUGAGUGCGGUAGGGGAGACUGGAAUUCCUGGUGUAGCCGUGAAAUGCGUAGAUAUUAGGAGGAACACCAGUAGCGAAGGCGGCUUUCUGGACUGAAACUGACACUGAGGCACGAAAGCGGGGGUAGCAAACAGG